RNAcentral lists this non-coding RNA (124 nucleotides) under Pannonibacter phragmitetus. RNAcentral describes it as "Glycine sequence". It matches the Rfam family "Glycine riboswitch aptamer". From Rfam's summary of the family: This family represents the bacterial glycine riboswitch. The record is from RNAcentral. Lineage: Bacteria; Pseudomonadati; Pseudomonadota; Alphaproteobacteria; Hyphomicrobiales; Stappiaceae.
CUUUGACGCUCUGGAAAGCAGGCCUCGCAUGCUGAUGCGUGAGGCCUCACCGAAGGAGUAACCUUCCGGCUGCAUUCGUGCGCCGGGCGGGAAAUCUCUCAGGUACUCGGACAGAGGGGGUGCG